GAAAUGCGAUAAGUAAUGUGAAUUGCAGAAUUCAGUGAAUCAUCGAAUCUUUGAACGCACAUUGCGCUCUUUGGUAUUCCGGAGAGCAUGCCUGUUUGAGAAUCAGUAAAUUCAUCAACCCAUAGCUUUGGGGAUUUAUUCCCGGGGCUGGAAGGUCGGAUAUGGGCUUUCUGCGGCCGUUUUGGCAGCAGCAGCCAAAAAUUAAAUGUUACGCUCCUCUGGACUGACCAAGUCUUGAGCAAACGCAUGAAUGAGGCAACUCAGCAGUACGUGAGCUCGAUCCUAAAGCAGUUUAUGGCUGGGUAACUCAACCAAUUAUCCGGGAUUUGCAGGCUUCAGCCAGCUUAUUCUGAACACUUGGUCUCAAAUCAGGUAGGAAAACCCGCUGAACUUAA
This 395-nucleotide unclassified non-coding RNA is filed under the name uncultured Chytridiomycota. RNAcentral describes it as "sequence contains ITS1". The stretch from base 1 to 105 matches the Rfam family "5.8S ribosomal RNA", at positions 50 to 154 of the family's 154-position model. The record is from RNAcentral. Lineage: Eukaryota; Fungi; Chytridiomycota.